RNAcentral lists this long non-coding RNA (2010 nucleotides) under Pan troglodytes (chimpanzee). Its description in RNAcentral is "long non-coding RNA NONPTRT015136". The record is from RNAcentral. Lineage: Eukaryota; Metazoa; Chordata; Mammalia; Primates; Hominidae.
GUCAAGAGGAGGAAUGCCAGGGUGAGGGAAGCAGGCAGGGACCUGCAAAUCUCUGUCAGACUGAUCCCUUGAGUGACUGCAUGAUAACUUGCAGUCUGUACUACUGUACUAUUGAAUGGUAGAGCAUAUUUUGGGAGAGGUGAAAAGGGGGGUUAGUAUAGUCUCUAUGCAGUAUGGUUUUUAAAUUCCAGCUAGCAUCCCAUAGUUAGAAAUGUACAUCAGAAAUAAUAUACUCUAAUUCUUUUAAAGUUAUGUUUAUUAUUUUAAUAUUACUAUUUUUUGAAAAUUAUACACUUAGUUUUGAUAAAGUGUGUCUUAUGAAGCAAGUAAAACUGUACACAGGAAGCAUGGAAGUUAUAUAAUCUGUAAAUCAAUCUUUUCAUUCUAGGUCACAUGUAUAUCAUGCAAUUACAAAUCCAAUACCAUUGAGCCCUUUUGGGACCUAUCCCUGGAAUUCCCUGAACGCUAUCACUGCAUAGAAAAGGGGUUUGUCCCUUUGAAUCAAACAGAGUGCUUGCUCACUGAGAUGCUGGCCAAAUUCACAGAGACAGAGGCCCUGGAAGGGAGAAUCUACGCUUGUGACCAGUGUAACAGCAAACGACGAAAAUCCAAUCCCAAACCCCUUGUUCUGAGUGAAGCUAGAAAGCAGUUAAUGAUCUACAGACUACCUCAGGUUCUCCGGCUGCACCUUAAAAGAUUCAGGUGAGCUUGCUGUGGGAGUCCCAGCUGGGUGAGAGCUGUGGGAAUAGCUGCUCCAAAGGCUUUGGUGAGGGCAAAUGUCUUCUAUGGUGUUGGGAGGGGAAGCCUGUUCACUUGAGACCUCGUGUUUUCCAUGGAGAUUAAACUGUUCACAUCCACUAAGGCAAAUUGAUGUGGGAGCCCAGCAGGACUGGGCUUUUGCUCUCAUGCUCCUGUGUAAUUAAUUAUCCAGCCUGCACUGGGUGUCUGUGCUUAAAGAUUUUCUAGCCUGGCUUGGACUUAUGUAGAUUCAUCUUCAGGAUGAAGUAUAAAAUAAUCUGCAAAAGAAGCACAGGCAGGAAACUACAAAAAGACUGUUGCUUGAAUUGCUUGUUUAGGGAUCUCUAGGUUUAGAGUACUUCAUGGAACAUUAACAGCAAAUAAAUGGGCCAGGCGCAGUGGCUCAUGACUGUAACCCUAGAACUUUGGGAGGCCAAGGUAGGCAGAUUGCUUGAGCUCAGGAGUUUGAGACCAGCCUCGGCAACAUGGUUAAAACCCUGUCUCUACAAAAAAUGCAAAAAUUAGCCAGGCAUGGUGGUGUGCACCUAUAGUCCCACCUACUCGGGAGGCUGAGGUGGGGCGAUCACCUGAGCUCGGGAAGGUUGAAGCUGCAGUGAGCCUUUAUCAAUCACACCACUGCACUGCAGCCUGGACAACAGAGUGAGACCCUGUCUGAAAAUAAAUAAAUAAAUAAGUGUGAACAUUGAUUACCACCAUUUUAUUGAUGGGAAAACCAAAACCAGAAGGUUAAAUUUUCUCAGUUUCCUGUUUUAUUAAUACCUACCUCUACCUACGAUUAUAUAUGCCAGUUUUUACUAGUAACAAGCUUAUAUCCAUGUUCUAGGUGGUCUGGCCGUAAUCAUCGAGAGAAGAUUGGGGUCCAUGUCGUCUUUGACCAGGUAUUAACCAUGGAACCUUACUGCUGCAGGGACAUGCUCUCCUCUCUUGACAAAGAGACCUUUGCCUAUGAUCUCUCCGCAGUGGUCAUGCAUCACGGGAAAGGGUUUGGCUCAGGACACUACACAGCCUAUUGCUACAACACAGAGGGAGGUGCGUGCGCUUUACUCUGUGGGGUGGGGGACACGGAAAGGGGUUGAUUUGUCCACAUUUUAUUGUUUUCCUUUUAUUUCCAUCCCAUGGAUUACCUAGAGGGAAAUUACAUACAUCAAAAUCCAGUGGAAAGAAUUGUGAAAAUUGGGUUGGGCGCCGUGGCUCACACCUGUAAUCCUAGCGCUUUGGGAGGCCGCGGUGGGUGGAUCACCUGAGGUCAGG